RNAcentral lists this ribosomal RNA (518 nucleotides) under uncultured bacterium. Its description in RNAcentral is "bacterial SSU rRNA". It matches the Rfam family "Bacterial small subunit ribosomal RNA", at positions 373 to 882 of the family's 1533-position model. The record is from RNAcentral.
GGACGAAAGUCUGACGGAGCAACGCCGCGUGAGUGAAGAAGGUUUUCGGAUCGUAAAACUCUGUUUUCAGGGACGAAUGUGCAAUAUGUGAAUAAUGUGUUGUAAUGACGGUACCUGACAAGAAAGCUACGGCUAACUACGUGCCAGCAGCCGCGGUAAUACGUAGGUGGCAAGCGUUGUCCGGAAUUAUUGGGCGUAAAGCGCGCGCAGGUGGGAUAAUAAGUCUGAUGUUAAAGUUCGGGGCUCAACCCCGUGAAGCAUUGGAAACUAUUAUUCUUGAGUGCAGGAGAGGAAAGUGGAAUUCCUAGUGUAGCGGUGAAAUGCGUAGAUAUUAGGAGGAACACCAGUGGCGAAGGCGACUUUCUGGACUGUGUCUGACACUGAGGCGCGAAAGCCAGGGUAGUGAACGGGAUUAGAUACCCCGGUAAUCCUGGCCGUAAACGAUGGGUACUAGGUGUUGGGGGUAUCGACCCCUCCAGUGCCGGAGUUAACGCAAUAAGUACCCCGCCUGGGGAGUA